UAGAGAGGGAUGAAGACACUGAAGACCUGGGUUCUAAGAAAGAUACUAGCCAUCUGGGUUCUCCCAAGACUCCAGCCAUGCCCCUGGUAUACUGGAAACUAUGUACCCGUUCCUUACCAGACACACAGGCCACAUGUCCUUCAGGAAGCCUUGAUCGCCUGUCAGGUAAUAGUCCCGAUAAACUUGCAACACAAACUUCAGGUUCAGGUCCUUCCAGUCAGCAGUAUCAUGGAUCAAAUAUGCGUUGACCCGGAGCCAUGGCUCAUCAUCUGUUGGAGGGGAGGGGACCUGCUUAACUGCAUCAGUGGAUAGGACAGAGGGUACAGGGACUGACAGACGGAAGUUGGCCUUGGGGGAGUGGAAUCUUACCUGGAUCCCCAAUAUCAUGAGGGAUAACGUUCCUCCUUUUCACAGGC
This 416-nucleotide long non-coding RNA is filed under the name Rattus norvegicus (Norway rat). RNAcentral's name for it is "long non-coding RNA NONRATT022219". The record is from RNAcentral. Lineage: Eukaryota; Metazoa; Chordata; Mammalia; Rodentia; Muridae.